CCUACGGGAGGCAGCAGUAGGGGAUAUUGCACAAUGGGGGGAACCCUGAAGCAGCGACGCCGCGUGGGGGAUGAAGGGCCUCGGAGCGUAAAGCCCUGUUGGCAGGGAAGAAAAUGACGGUACCUAACGAAUAAGCACCGGCUAACUCCGUGCCAGCAGCCGCGGUAAUACGGAGGGGGCAAGCGUUACCCGGAAUCACUGGGCGUAAAGGGGGCGUAGGCGGGGAAGCAAGUCAGGUGUGAAAGCCUGGGGCCUAACCAUGGGACUGCAUUUGAAACUGUUAUGCUGGAGUGUGGGAGAGGUAGGUGGAAUUCUUGGUGUAGCGGUGAAAUCCGUAGAUAUCAAGAGGAAUACUGAUUGCGAAGGCGACCUGCUGGAACGCAACUGACGUUGAUGCGCGAAAGCGUGGGGAGCAAACAGGAUUAGAUACCCCUGUAGUC
This 440-nucleotide ribosomal RNA is filed under the name uncultured bacterium. Its description in RNAcentral is "partial 16S ribosomal RNA". It matches the Rfam family "Bacterial small subunit ribosomal RNA", at positions 338 to 795 of the family's 1533-position model. The record is from RNAcentral.